CCUACCUCUCACAUUUAUAGGCAUGGCCAGACUUGCAGUUGACUCUAAAAGGUUUAUAUGUAGUCCCUAAAGUAAUAAGCAUUGGACAUGCAUCCUCUUUUGUUUUUGCAAGGUCAUAAUUUACCAUGUCUUUUCCUGUCACUAUGUGGAGAGUUGGGACUGCACACACUCAACUCACACUCACACACACACACACACACUCACAUACACACACACAGCACACCAUACACACACACACACAUUCUCUCACACAUCACACCAUACACACACACAACACACCAUACAUACACACACACUCAUCAGAAACCAGUGACUUUACCCUUGUCCCCAGGACCGAGAGCUAGUUUUUAUGUUUCUAAAUACACAGACUUUUGGAAGAAGUAAAUGGGAAGAGGCCUAGGUGUCUGGCUUAAUUCUUAGCCUGACAAAGCCUUGCUUCUGUUUAUGUAAAAUGUGGAGGGGCAUAACCAGGAUAACAGUAAGUAAUUCUACUUGUAAUAAGUGGAAUUUGAGUAUGGCUUCUUGUUUUCAUAGUAGCGGAUUCUGAGGUACUUGGAAGCAGUUAAGGGUAGUCCUGUGUUGAUGGCUCCCUUCUGGGUGGGGUGGACAGGACAAAAUGGAUGACCAGUAGCUCACAAUAGCUAGAGAUUCUAGGGUCUGUGCCAUGUCCUAGCUGGACCAUCAUGCAUCUGAUCUGCGUGGUUUCCAUGGUGUAUCUCUGCUGUGGGUCAAUUCCUUGAUGGAUUAUCAGAUGUGAGGGCUUCCUGACUUGACUG
Molecule: long non-coding RNA, 776 nt
Filed under: Rattus norvegicus (Norway rat)
Lineage: Eukaryota; Metazoa; Chordata; Mammalia; Rodentia; Muridae
Description: long non-coding RNA NONRATT006851
Source: RNAcentral